UACGAAGGGGGCUAGCGUUGCUCGGAAUCACUGGGCGUAAAGCGCACGUAGGCGGGUUCUUAAGUCAGGGGUGAAAUCCUGGAGCUCAACUCCAGAACUGCCUUUGAUACUGGGAAUCUCGAGUCCGGAAGAGGUGAGUGGAACUCCGAGUGUAGAGGUGAAAUUCGUAGAUAUUCGGAAGAACACCAGUGGCGAAGGCGGCUCACUGGUCCGGUACUGACGCUGAGGUGCGAAAGCGUGGGGAGCAAACAGG
Molecule: ribosomal RNA, 253 nt
Filed under: uncultured bacterium
Lineage: Bacteria
Description: partial 16S ribosomal RNA
Rfam family: Bacterial small subunit ribosomal RNA
Source: RNAcentral